GGAGGAGUCGGAUAGCGGUUCAUUCCACAUCCUUGGAAAGGAUGCGAGCGCAAGCUCACGCAGGUUCGAAUCCUGUCUCCUCCG
RNAcentral lists this transfer RNA (84 nucleotides) under Candidatus Levyibacteriota bacterium. Its description in RNAcentral is "tRNA-Ser". It matches the Rfam family "tRNA". From Rfam's summary of the family: Transfer RNA (tRNA) molecules are approximately 80 nucleotides in length. Their secondary structure includes four short double-helical elements and three loops (D, anti-codon, and T loops). Lineage: Bacteria; Candidatus Levyibacteriota. The record is from RNAcentral.